UUUGGCAUUAACCAUGCCUCAUGACUGGGGAAGACUGCGUCGCGCCCCCUGGAGGUCAAGAUGAGUGUAUGCCCUCGUAAUGGGCCCAUUUGUUUGGCAAGCUCCUGAGAUGCAGCCUUCAUGCUAAUUGCAGAAGGAAGUAGUUUGUCCUGCUGGAGCACCCGUACAAAACGCGGCCCACCUGCCUGGGGAUUGGCUGUUGCCGUGGUUACAGUUUGUUUGGUUUCUCCAGGCGCUCUCUUCCACUAGAUGGAGGGAUUUAGCUGCUGGU
Long non-coding RNA from Pipistrellus kuhlii (Kuhl's pipistrelle), 271 nucleotides. RefSeq lists it as uncharacterized. Lineage: Eukaryota; Metazoa; Chordata; Mammalia; Chiroptera; Vespertilionidae. The record is from RefSeq and is a predicted model, not a curated record. The transcript is spliced from 2 exons.